ACUCAACUGAAAGACAGAAAGAAAUGUGACUUGGCGAAAACAAAAGAAAGAGCUUCUAGGAUCUGAUGACUCAAAGCAAUACUCUAAGGUGAGCAUCUCAUCAUCCAGCAUUGGGACUGACUGGCUUCGAGACAUACUGGACAUACCAUGCUCUGGUCCCAGCAUCUUAUCCGGUCGUUCGUGGCUUCCUAAGUGAUCACUCCCAGAAGCAUAGUUUUCUAAUGGUAUGUUAUACACCUUAUAUGUACCAAUGUCAAUCUCAUCGAUACUCUGUGACUUUUUGAAUUUAUUAGACUUGAUAUCUUUCAUUAGGGGGGAAAGCCUCUCUGUGCUUUUGCUAAUUGAAAUAACACCUUUAGAAGAUUCCGGGCGGCAGUGGAUUUGAGAAAAGACAUUACUAAGACUCCUGUUGGGAUUGGAAUCAUGAUACUCCCAUGGUACGCCUGGAGAAAAAGGACUAGGUAUUUCAGUAGAUUCCUUUAUAUGUUCUUUCCUUUCAGGCAAUGGGCUGGUAGUGGGGGUUGUCUCUAAUUUGGAAGGAAAAGCGGUCCUGUCUUCAAACGGACUAGGGGUUCUGGUCCAAUUCUGCCAAGGAUUGGAAGGAGGCACUUCUGUUUCUGGUGUGUGUCUGUGUGUAGACUGCUCGAGUUCCAGGGGAACACCAACAAUCCUGUCUUGCCUGAUCAAAGGCCUGCGUCCAUGCGAAGAUGUGCUUCUAGAUUUCGAACUUAAGAGAGGAUUACUGUUGGCAUUCUCGGCUGUGGUUUCCUCAGCAACAAACCCUGUGUUGUCAUAAUGCGAGCCAUCAGUCCAGUUGUCAGUGAAAGUAUCACUCAUGGGCAGCCGGUCAGGACGCUGUGGUAUAUUGCCUGGGGGAACAGCCUCCCGCUGGCUGAGUAAUGGCUUUGAAUCAAGAGGCUGUGGGAAAGAUGGUGCAAUCCUGUGAACACAAUGGGAAGAAGAAA
This 965-nucleotide long non-coding RNA is filed under the name Homo sapiens (human). Its description in RNAcentral is "non-protein coding lnc-LRRC40-4:1". The record is from RNAcentral. Lineage: Eukaryota; Metazoa; Chordata; Mammalia; Primates; Hominidae.